CCGGAAGUGUGGGAGAGGCUCUGCUCUGAGAAAGGAAUUGUGGGCCUGUCACACAUGUGGACUGUGAGAUGAGCAAAGAGGAUACUCCCAGUGGGCUCUUCGAAACAUGACUUGCAGCUGCUGCCCUAUAUGCUGCUCCCCACUUCAGUCCUGCCCACAGAGCCAUCACUUAAACGAGUAAACUUGUUGACUCGGAAGAUUAGCCCUGAGCUAACGUCUGCUGCCAAUCCUCCUCGUUUUGCGGAGGAAGACUGGCCCUGAGCUAACAUCCGUGCCCAUCUUCCUCUACUUUACAUGUGGGAUGCCUACCACAGCAUGGCUUGCCAAGCCGUGCCAUGUCCGCACCCGGGAUCCGAACCAGCAAACCCCAGGCCGCUGAAGCGGAACAUGUGAACCCAGCUGCUGCCCUACCAGGCCGGCCCCUGGACAUCUCAUUUUUAACCCUCUGCCACUACCAACCCCCUCCCCCAAAUACUGUUCUUUUAAAACUCCAUUCAGAGUGUAAGCUAAUGGUUGCUUUGCAAAGGAUAUAGUUGUUUUAUUUUCCACAUCUAGAAAAAGAAACAGAAUUUAACCAAGCGUUUAUGAAUUCUUUUCCAUUUCAUAAAUAUUGUUAAAAUUCCACUGUGCUUUGAUGCAACAUUUGAUAUCUUUACUUUUCCAGGCAUUUGCUAAUAAUCCAAUGUCUAAGAGGAGACAGGAUUUUUCUUUCAUGGUUUUCAGAAAUAGGAUGCUUUGACAAAUGUCUUGCUGUUCAAUACAAAUGAACUUAGUUUGACUUCAGAAUUAUGGAGAAAUGUAUUCUCUGGCCUAUAUUUAUAAACUCCCA
RNAcentral lists this long non-coding RNA (829 nucleotides) under Equus caballus (horse). RNAcentral's name for it is "lncRNA (ENSECAG00000047004.1)". Lineage: Eukaryota; Metazoa; Chordata; Mammalia; Perissodactyla; Equidae. The record is from RNAcentral.